CGGAGGCCAUUGCUAUUGGGAUCCGAUUUAGCCAUGCUAGUCGCACGAGUUCAGACUCGUGGCGAAUAGCUCAGUAACACGUGGCCAAACUACCCUUCGGAACACAAUACCCUCGGGAAACUGAGGCUAAUAGUGUAUACCAUACCACCACUGGAAUGAGUGGUAUGCCAAACGCUCCGGCGCCGAAGGAUGUGGCUGCGGCCGAUUAGGUAGACGGUGGGGUAACGGCCCACCGUGCCAAUAAUCGGUAUGGGUCAUGAGAGUGAGAGCCCAGAGACGGAAUCUGAGACAAGAUUCCGGGCCCU
RNAcentral lists this ribosomal RNA (305 nucleotides) under Halorubrum sp. TP041. Its description in RNAcentral is "bacterial SSU rRNA". It matches the Rfam family "Archaeal small subunit ribosomal RNA", at positions 18 to 324 of the family's 1478-position model. The record is from RNAcentral. Lineage: Archaea; Methanobacteriati; Methanobacteriota; Halobacteria; Halobacteriales; Haloferacaceae. RNAcentral also lists the same sequence under 2 other names.